GACGAACGCUGGCGGCGUGCUUAACACAUGCAAGUCGAACGAAGAGCGACGGAAGCUUGCUUCUAUCAAUCUUAGUGGCGAACGGGUGAGUAACGCGUAAUCAACCUGCCCUUCAGAGGGGGACAACAGUUGGAAACGACUGCUAAUACCGCAUACGAUCUAAUCUCGGCAUCGAGGAUGGAUGAAAGGUGGCCUCUACAUGUAAGCUAUCACUGAAGGAGGGGAUUGCGUCUGAUGAGCUAGUUGGAGGGGUAACGGCCCACCAAGGCGAUGAUCAGUAGCCGGUCUGAGAUGAUGAACGGCCACAUUGGGACUGAGACACGGCCCAGACUCCUACGGGAGGCAGCAGUGGGGAAUCUUCCGCAAUGGACGAAAGUCUGACGGAGCAACGCCGCGUGAGUGAUGACGGCCUUCGGGUUGUAAAGCUCUGUUAAUCGGGACGAAAGGCCUUCUUGCGAAUAGGGAGAAGGAUUGACGGUACCGGAAUAGAAAGCCACGGCUAACUACGUG
RNAcentral lists this ribosomal RNA (510 nucleotides) under uncultured bacterium. RNAcentral describes it as "partial 16S ribosomal RNA". It matches the Rfam family "Bacterial small subunit ribosomal RNA", at positions 28 to 507 of the family's 1533-position model. The record is from RNAcentral.